Molecule: ribosomal RNA, 1275 nt
Filed under: Azospirillum lipoferum
Lineage: Bacteria; Pseudomonadati; Pseudomonadota; Alphaproteobacteria; Rhodospirillales; Azospirillaceae
Description: bacterial SSU rRNA
Rfam family: Bacterial small subunit ribosomal RNA (bases 344-1275)
Source: RNAcentral
UGCGAUCCGAACUGAGAACAGAUUUGUGGGAUUGGCUAAACCUUGCGGUCUCGCAGCCCUUUGUUCUGUCCAUUGUAGCACGUGUGUAGCCCAGGUCAUAAGGGGCAUGAUGAUUUGACGUCAUCCCCACCUUCCUCCGGUUUGUCACCGGCAGUCACCUUAGAGUGCCCAACUGAAUGCUGGCAACUAAGAUCAAGGGUUGCGCUCGUUGCGGGACUUAACCCAACAUCUCACGACACGAGCUGACGACAACCAUGCACCACCUGUCACUCUGUCCCCGAAGGGAAAGCCCUAUCUCUAGGGUUGUCAGAGGAUGUCAAGACCUGGUAAGGUUCUUCGCGUUGCUUCGAAUUAAACCACAUGCUCCACCGCUUGUGCGGGCCCCCGUCAAUUCCUUUGAGUUUCAGUCUUGCGACCGUACUCCCCAGGCGGAGUGCUUAAUGCGUUAGCGUGCCAGCAGCCGCGGUAAUACGUAGGUGGCAAGCGUUGUCCGGAAUUAUUGGGCGUAAAGCGCGCGCAGGUGGUUUCUUAAGUCUGAUGUGAAAGCCCACGGCUCAACCGUGGAGGGUCAUUGGAAACUGGGAGACUUGAGUGCAGAAGAGGAUAGUGGAAUUCCAAGUGUAGCGGUGAAAUGCGUAGAGAUUUGGAGGAACACCAGUGGCGAAGGCGACUAUCUGGUCUGUAACUGACACUGAGGCGCGAAAGCGUGGGGAGCAAACAGGAUUAGAUACCCUGGUAGUCCACGCCGUAAACGAUGAGUGCUAAGUGUUAGGGGGUUUCCGCCCCUUAGUGCUGCAGCUAACGCAUUAAGCACUCCGCCUGGGGAGUACGGUCGCAAGACUGAAACUCAAAGGAAUUGACGGGGGCCCGCACAAGCGGUGGAGCAUGUGGUUUAAUUCGAAGCAACGCGAAGAACCUUACCAGGUCUUGACAUCCCGUUGACCACUGUAGAGAUAUGGUUUCCCCUUCGGGGGCAACGGUGACAGGUGGUGCAUGGUUGUCGUCAGCUCGUGUCGUGAGAUGUUGGGUUAAGUCCCGCAACGAGCGCAACCCUUGAUCUUAGUUGCCAUCAUUUAGUUGGGCACUCUAAGGUGACUGCCGGUGACAAACCGGAGGAAGGUGGGGAUGACGUCAAAUCAUCAUGCCCCUUAUGACCUGGGCUACACACGUGCUACAAUGGACGAUACAAACGGUUGCCAACUCGCGAGAGGGAGCUAAUCCGAUAAAGUCGUUCUCAGUUCGGAUUGUAGGCUGCAACUCGCCUACAUGAAGCCG